AUUGAACGCUGGCGGCAUGCUUUACACAUGCAAGUCGAACGGUAACAGGCCUUCGGGUGCUGACGAGUGGCGAACGGGUGAGUAAUGCAUCGGAACGUACCCAGAGGUGGGGGAUAACGCAGCGAAAGCUGUGCUAAUACCGCAUGUGAUCUGAGGAUGAAAGCGGGGGACCGAGCAGCAAUGUUUGGCCUCGCGCCUUUGGAGCGGCCGAUGUCGGAUUAGCUAGUUGGUGGGGUAAAGGCCUACCAAGGCGACGAUCCGUAGCUGGUCUGAGAGGACGACCAGCCACACUGGGACUGAGACACGGCCCAGACUCCUACGGGAGGCAGCAGUGGGGAAUUUUGGACAAUGGGCGAAAGCCUGAUCCAGCAAUGCCGCGUGCGGGAAGAAGGCCUUCGGGUUGGAAACCGCUUUUGGCAGGAACGAAACGGUGUCCGCUAAUACCGGGCGUUAAUGACGGUACCUGCAGAAUAAGCACCGGCUAACUACGUG
RNAcentral lists this ribosomal RNA (492 nucleotides) under uncultured bacterium. RNAcentral describes it as "partial 16S ribosomal RNA". It matches the Rfam family "Bacterial small subunit ribosomal RNA", at positions 29 to 507 of the family's 1533-position model. The record is from RNAcentral.